Molecule: transfer RNA, 74 nt
Filed under: Diretmus argenteus (silver spinyfin)
Lineage: Eukaryota; Metazoa; Chordata; Actinopteri; Trachichthyiformes; Diretmidae
Description: tRNA-Lys
Rfam family: tRNA
About the family: Transfer RNA (tRNA) molecules are approximately 80 nucleotides in length.
Source: RNAcentral
CACUAAGAAGCUAAAUCGGACACAGCGUUAGCCUUUUAAGCUAAAGACUGGUGGGCCCAACACACCCCUAGUGA